CCUACGGGUGGCAGCAGUAGGGAAUAUUGCUCAAUGGGGGAAACCCUGAAGCAGCAACGCCGCGUGGAGGAUGAAGGUUUUAGGAUUGUAAACUCCUUUUGUUAGAGAAGAAUAUGACGGUACCUGACGAAUAAGCACCAGCUAACUGCGUGCCAGCAGCCGCUGGAAUACGGAGGGUGCAAGCGUUACUCGGAAUUACUGGGCGUAAAGGGUGCGUAGGCGGGGUAAUAAGUCAGGCGGGAAAUGCUGUAGCUUAACUACAGAAGUGCCGUUGAAACUGUUAGUCUGGAGUGUGGGAGAGGUAAGUGGAAUUCGUGGUGUAGCGGUAAAAUGCGUAGAGAUCACGAGGAAUACUCAUUGCGAAGGCGGCCUACUGGAACCUAACUGACGCUGAGGCACGAAAGCGUGGGGAGCGAACAGGAUUAGAUACCCUAGUAGUC
Molecule: ribosomal RNA, 440 nt
Filed under: uncultured bacterium
Lineage: Bacteria
Description: partial 16S ribosomal RNA
Rfam family: Bacterial small subunit ribosomal RNA
Source: RNAcentral